Molecule: ribosomal RNA, 375 nt
Filed under: uncultured bacterium
Lineage: Bacteria
Description: bacterial SSU rRNA
Rfam family: Bacterial small subunit ribosomal RNA
Source: RNAcentral
GACGAACGCUGGCGGCGUGCUUAACACAUGCAAGUCGAGCGGUAAGGCCCUUUCGGGGGUACACGAGCGGCGAACGGGUGAGUAACACGUGGGUGACCUGCCCUUAGCUCUGGGAUAAGCCUGGGAAACUGGGUCUAAUACCGGAUAUGACUCCAUGACGCAUGUUGUGGGGUGGAAAGCCUUGUGCGGCUGAGGAUGGGCCCGCGGCCUAUCAGCUUGUUGGUGGGGUGAUGGCCUACCAAGGCGACGACGGGUAGCCGGCCUGAGAGGGCGACCGGCCACACUGGGACUGAGACACGGCCCAGACUCCUACGGGAGGCAGCAGUGGGGAAUCUUGCGCAAUGGGCGAAAGCCUGACGCAGCGACGCCGCGUGA